RNAcentral lists this ribosomal RNA (629 nucleotides) under uncultured bacterium. RNAcentral's name for it is "bacterial SSU rRNA". It matches the Rfam family "Bacterial small subunit ribosomal RNA", at positions 56 to 683 of the family's 1533-position model. The record is from RNAcentral.
UGCAGUCGAACGGUAACAUUUCUAGCUUGCUAGAAGAUGACGAGUGGCGGACGGGUGAGUAAUACUUAGGAAUAUGCCUUUGUGUGGGGGGUAACCAUUGGAAACGAUGGCUAAUACCGCAUAACGUCUUCGGACCAAAGGGGGCUUCGGCUCCCGCGCAAAGAGUAGCCUAAGCGAGAUUAGCUUGUUGGUGAGGUAAAGGCUCACCAAGGCGACGAUCUCUAGCUGUUCUGAGAGGAAGAUCAGCCACACUGGAACUGAGACACGGUCCAGACUCCUACGGGAGGCAGCAGUGGGGAAUAUUGCACAAUGGGGGGAACCCUGAUGCAGCCAUGCCGCGUGUGUGAAGAAGGCCUUCGGGUUGUAAAGCACUUUCAGUUGUGAGGAAAGGUUAGCGGUUAAUACCCGUUAGCUGUGACGUUAGCAACAGAAGAAGGACCGGCUAACUCCGUGCCAGCAGCCGCGGUAAUACGGAGGGUCCGAGCGUUAAUCGGAAUUACUGGGCGUAAAGCGCACGCAGGCGGUUUGUUAAGCUAGAUGUGAAAGCCCCGGGCUCAACCUGGGAAUAGCAUUUAGAACUGGCAGACUAGAGUCUUGGAGAGGGGAGUGGAAUUUCUGGUGUAGCGGUG